Molecule: transfer RNA, 73 nt
Filed under: Ilumatobacteraceae bacterium
Lineage: Bacteria; Bacillati; Actinomycetota; Acidimicrobiia; Acidimicrobiales; Ilumatobacteraceae
Also listed under: 1 other name
Description: tRNA-Arg
Rfam family: tRNA
About the family: Transfer RNA (tRNA) molecules are approximately 80 nucleotides in length. Their secondary structure includes four short double-helical elements and three loops (D, anti-codon, and T loops). Further hydrogen bonds mediate the characteristic L-shaped molecular structure. tRNAs have two regions of fundamental functional importance: the anti-codon, which is responsible for specific mRNA codon recognition, and the 3' end, to which the tRNAs corresponding amino acid is attached (by aminoacyl-tRNA synthetases). tRNAs cope with the degeneracy of the genetic code in two manners: having more than one tRNA (with a specific anti-codon) for a particular amino acid; and 'wobble' base-pairing, i.e. permitting non-standard base-pairing at the 3rd anti-codon position.
Source: RNAcentral
GACCCCGUAGCUCAAUUGGGAGAGCAACGGACUUCUAAUCCGUAGGUUGCAGGUUCGAUUCCUGCCGGGGUCG